GCCUACGGCCAUACCACCCUGGAGAACGCCCGAUCUCGUCUGAUCUCGGAAGCUAAGCAGGGUCGGGCCCGGUUAGUACUUGGAUGGGAGACCGCCUGGGAAUACCGGGUGCUGUAGGCA
RNAcentral lists this ribosomal RNA (120 nucleotides) under Camarhynchus parvulus. Lineage: Eukaryota; Metazoa; Chordata; Aves; Passeriformes; Thraupidae. The record is from RNAcentral.